This 59-nucleotide transfer RNA is filed under the name Fukomys damarensis (Damara mole-rat). It matches the Rfam family "tRNA", at positions 7 to 64 of the family's 71-position model. Rfam says of the family: Transfer RNA (tRNA) molecules are approximately 80 nucleotides in length. Their secondary structure includes four short double-helical elements and three loops (D, anti-codon, and T loops). Further hydrogen bonds mediate the characteristic L-shaped molecular structure. tRNAs have two regions of fundamental functional importance: the anti-codon, which is responsible for specific mRNA codon recognition, and the 3' end, to which the tRNAs corresponding amino acid is attached (by aminoacyl-tRNA synthetases). tRNAs cope with the degeneracy of the genetic code in two manners: having more than one tRNA (with a specific anti-codon) for a particular amino acid; and 'wobble' base-pairing, i.e. permitting non-standard base-pairing at the 3rd anti-codon position. The record is from Rfam by way of RNAcentral. Lineage: Eukaryota; Metazoa; Chordata; Mammalia; Rodentia; Bathyergidae.
GUAGCUCAGUGGUUGAGCGCUUGCCUGGUGUGCUUGAGGCCCUGGGUUUGAUCCCCAGC